This 359-nucleotide small RNA is filed under the name Oryza sativa Japonica Group (Japanese rice). RNAcentral describes it as "sRNA Os03g0696850". Lineage: Eukaryota; Viridiplantae; Streptophyta; Magnoliopsida; Poales; Poaceae. The record is from RNAcentral.
UACCCGAGGACGUGGCGGCCGCCGUCGUGGACGGUCUUGGAGACGAGGCCCAUCAGGCCGCCGCUGCCGCCGCCGUAGACCAGAUCGAGCUCCCUCUCGACCUGCGUGGAUCAAUGGAGGCCUUCGUGGGUGAGGCUAGGAGAGGGUAAAGACCGAGAGCGAAAGGGAGGGGGAAUAAGCUUGGGGGCGUCGUCAGAGCUAGACAACUCACCAGCUGCUUUCCGAGGUCGAGAGCGGCAGCGCUGAAGGACGGCCGGUUUCCCCGCCUGCUGCCGCAGAAGACGCAGAUCGUCCGCACCGGUCCCCGGCCCCCGCGGCUGCCGCUCUCCACAACCUUGUCGUGGUUAGCAUCCAUGUGU